GAUGAACGCUGACAGAAUGCUUAACACAUGCAAGUCAACUUGAACUUCGGUUUGGGUGGCGGACGGGUGAGUAACGCGUAAAGAACUUGCCUCACAGUUAGGGACAACAUUUGGAAACGAAUGCUAAUACCUGAUAUUAUGAUUUUAGGGCAUCCUAGAAUUAUGAAAGCUAUAUGCGCUGUGAGAGAGCUUUGCGUCCCAUUAGCUAGUUGGAGAGGUAACGGCUCACCAAGGCGAUGAUGGGUAGCCGGCCUGAGAGGGUGAACGUCCACAAGGGGACUGAGACACGGCCCUUACUCCUACGGGAGGCAGCAGUGGGGAAUAUUGGACAAUGGACCAAGAGUCUGAUCCAGCAAUUCUGUGUGCACGAUGAAGUUUUUCGGAAUGUAAAGUGCUUUCAGUUGGGAAGAAAAAAAUGACGAUACCAACAGAAGAAGUGACGGCUAAAUACGUG
Molecule: ribosomal RNA, 454 nt
Filed under: uncultured bacterium
Lineage: Bacteria
Description: partial 16S ribosomal RNA
Rfam family: Bacterial small subunit ribosomal RNA
Source: RNAcentral